UACGUAGGCAGCGAGCGUUGUUCGGAAUUACUGGGCGUAAAGAGUGCGUAGGCGGUGCUCUAAGUCUGUUGUGAAAUCUCCCGGCUCAACUGGGAGGGUGCGGCGGAAACUAGAGUGCUAGAGUAUGGGAGAGGUAAGCGGAAUUCCUGGUGUAGCGGUGAAAUGCGUAGAUAUCAGGAGGAACACCAAUUGCGAAGGCAGCUCGCUGGGACGUAACUGACGCUGAGACGCGAAAGCGUGGGGAGCAAACAGG
This 253-nucleotide ribosomal RNA is filed under the name uncultured bacterium. RNAcentral's name for it is "partial 16S ribosomal RNA". It matches the Rfam family "Bacterial small subunit ribosomal RNA", at positions 524 to 776 of the family's 1533-position model. The record is from RNAcentral.